GACGAACGCUGGCGGCGUGCUUAACACAUGCCAGUCGAACGGAAAGGCCCUGCUUUUGUGGGGUGCUCGAGUGGCGAACGGGUGAGUAACACGUGAGUAACCUGCCCUUGACUUUGGGAUAACUCCAGGAAACUGGGGCUAAUACCGGAUAGGAGCUCCUGCUGCAUGGUGGGGGUUGGAAAGUUUCGGCGGUGGGGGAUGGACUCGCGGCUUAUCAGCUUGUUUGUGGGGUAGUUGCUUACCAGGGCUUUGACGGGUAGCCGGCCUGAGAGGGUGACCGGCCACAUUGGGACUGAGAUACGGCCCAGACUCCUACGGGCGGCAGCAGUGGGGAAUAUUGCACAAUGGGCGGAAGCCUGAUGCAGCAACGCCGCGUGCGGGAUGACGGCCUUCGGGUUGUAAACCGCUUUCGCCUGUGACGAAGCGUGAGUGACGGUAAUGGGUAAAGAAGCACCGGCUAACUACGUG
RNAcentral lists this ribosomal RNA (468 nucleotides) under uncultured bacterium. Its description in RNAcentral is "partial 16S ribosomal RNA". It matches the Rfam family "Bacterial small subunit ribosomal RNA", at positions 28 to 507 of the family's 1533-position model. The record is from RNAcentral.